RNAcentral lists this ribosomal RNA (255 nucleotides) under uncultured Acidobacteriota bacterium. RNAcentral describes it as "uncultured Acidobacteria bacterium partial 16S ribosomal RNA". It matches the Rfam family "Bacterial small subunit ribosomal RNA", at positions 524 to 776 of the family's 1533-position model. Lineage: Bacteria; Pseudomonadati; Acidobacteriota. The record is from RNAcentral.
GACGGGGGGAGCAAGCGUUGUUCGGAUUUACUGGGCGUAAAGGGCGCGUAGGCGGCCACUGCAAGUCAAUUGUGAAAUCUCCGGGCUUAACUCGGAAAGGUCAACUGAUACUGCAGGGCUAGAGUGCGGAAGGGGCAACUGGAAUUCUCGGUGUAGCGGUGAAAUGCGUAGAUAUCGAGAGGAACACCUGCGGCGAAGGCGGGUUGCUGGGCCGACACUGACGCUGAGUGUGCGAAAGCUAGGGGAGCGAACGGG